This 69-nucleotide transfer RNA is filed under the name Ictidomys tridecemlineatus (thirteen-lined ground squirrel). RNAcentral describes it as "Spermophilus tridecemlineatus (thirteen-lined ground squirrel) tRNA". It matches the Rfam family "tRNA". Rfam says of the family: Transfer RNA (tRNA) molecules are approximately 80 nucleotides in length. Their secondary structure includes four short double-helical elements and three loops (D, anti-codon, and T loops). Lineage: Eukaryota; Metazoa; Chordata; Mammalia; Rodentia; Sciuridae. The record is from Rfam by way of RNAcentral.
GGUGAUUUAACUAAGCAGUAGAGUGCUUGCCUAGCAUGCAUGAGGCCCUGGGUUCAAUUCUCAGCACUG